This 253-nucleotide ribosomal RNA is filed under the name uncultured bacterium. Its description in RNAcentral is "partial 16S ribosomal RNA". It matches the Rfam family "Bacterial small subunit ribosomal RNA", at positions 524 to 776 of the family's 1533-position model. The record is from RNAcentral.
UACGUAGGGUGCGAGCGCUAAUCGGAAUUACUGGGCGUAAAGCGUGCGCAGGCGGUUCGUUAAGUUCGUUGUGAAAGCCCCGGGCUCAACCUGGGAAUGGCAAUGGAAACUGGCGGGCUGGAGUGCGGCAGAGGGGGGUGGAAUUCCGCGUGUAGCAGUGAAAUGCGUAGAGAUGCGGAGGAACACCGAUGGCGAAGGCAGCCCCCUGGGCCGACACUGACGCUCAGGCACGAAAGCGUGGGGAGCAAACAGG